AUUGAACGCUGGCGGCAUGCCUUACACAUGCAAGUCGAACGGCAGCACGGGCUUCGUCCUUGCGGCGAGUGGCGAACGGGUGAGUAAUGCAUCGGAACGUGCCCAGUAGUGGGGGAUAGGCCGGCGAAAGCCGGAUUAAUACCGCAUACGACCUGAGGGUGAAAGCGGGGGACCGAAAGACCUCGCGCUAUUGGAGCGGCCGAUGUCGGAUUAGCUAGUUGGUGGGGUAAAGGCUUACCAAGGCGACGAUCCGUAGCUGGUCUGAGAGGACGACCAGCCACACUGGGACUGAGACACGGCCCAGACUCCUACGGGAGGCAGCAGUGGGGAAUUUUGGACAAUGGGGGCAACCCUGAUCCAGCCAUGCCGCGUGCGGGAAGAAGGCCUUCGGGUUGUAAACCGCUUUUGUUCGGGAAGAAAUCCUCUGGGCUAAUACCCCGGGGGGAUGACGGUACCGGAAGAAUAAGCACCGGCUAACUACGUG
RNAcentral lists this ribosomal RNA (484 nucleotides) under uncultured bacterium. Its description in RNAcentral is "partial 16S ribosomal RNA". It matches the Rfam family "Bacterial small subunit ribosomal RNA", at positions 29 to 507 of the family's 1533-position model. The record is from RNAcentral.